CCUACGGGAGGCAGCAGUGGGGAAUUUUGGACAAUGGGGGCAACCCUGAUCCAGCCAUGCCGCGUGAGUGAAGAAGGCCUUCGGGUUGUAAAGCUCUUUCGGCCGGAACGAAAUCGCGCACGUGAAUAACGUGCGUGGAUGACGGUACCGGAGUAAGAAGCACCGGCUAACUACGUGCCAGCAGCCGCGGUAAUACGUAGGGUGCGAGCGUUAAUCGGAAUUACUGGGCGUAAAGCGUGCGCAGGCGGUUCGCUAAGUCAGACGUGAAAGCCCCGGGCUUAACCUGGGAACGGCGUUUGAAACUGGCGGGCUCGAGUACGGCAGAGGGGGGUGGAAUUCCACGUGUAGCAGUGAAAUGCGUAGAUAUGUGGAGGAACACCGAUGGCGAAGGCAGCCCCCUGGGCCGAUACUGACGCUCAUGCACGAAAGCGUGGGGAGCAAACAGGAUUAGAUACCCUGGUAGUCCACGCCCUAAACUAUGUCAACUAGUUGUCGGGGAAGCAAUUCCUUGGUAACGCAGCUAACGCGUGAAGUUGACCGCCUGGGGAGUACGGUCGCAAGAUUAAAACCUUAAGGAAUUGACGG
Molecule: ribosomal RNA, 585 nt
Filed under: uncultured bacterium
Lineage: Bacteria
Description: bacterial SSU rRNA
Rfam family: Bacterial small subunit ribosomal RNA
Source: RNAcentral